AGAGUUUGAUCCUGGCUCAGAAUGAACGUUGGCGGCGUGGAUUAGGCAUGCAAGUCGAGCGAGAACCCGCAAGGGGGACAGCGGCGAACGGGGUAGGACAACGUAGGUAACGUACCCUCGGGGCGAGGACAGCCACGGGAAACUGUGGGUAAUACUCGAUAAUGUUCCCAAUCGUGAUGGAAGGGGAACCAAUGGGUGUGAUUCCACCUGAGGAGCGGCUUACGCAGUAUCAGCUUGUUGGUGAGGUAACGGCUCACCAAGGCUAUGACGCUUAGGGGAUGUGAGAGCAUGAUCCCCACCACUGGCACUGAGACACGGGCCAGACACCUACGGGUGGCAGCAGUAGGGAAUAUUGGGCAAUGGGCGAAAGCCUGACCCAGCAACGCCGCGUGCACGAUGAAGGUCUUCGGAUCGUAAAGUGCUUUUCUGAGAGAUGAGAAAGGACAGUAUCUCAGGAAUAAGUCUCGGCUAACUACGUGCCAGCAGCCGCGGUAAAACGUAGGGUGCGAGCGUUGUUCGGAGUUAUUGGGCGUAAAGGGCGUGUAGGCGGCUUGAGAAGUCUGGUUUGAAAUGCACUGGCUCAACUGGUGCGCUGGGUCAGAAACUGGCAGGCUUGAGUUCAUGGGGAGGAGCUGGAAUUCCAGGUGUAGGGGUGAAAUCUGUAGAGAUCUGGAAGAACACCGGUAGCGAAGGCGGGCUCCUAUGGAUGGACUGACGCUGAGGCGCGAAAGCGUGGGGAGCAAACAGGAUUAGAUACCCUGGUAGUCCACA
Molecule: ribosomal RNA, 771 nt
Filed under: uncultured bacterium
Lineage: Bacteria
Description: bacterial SSU rRNA
Rfam family: Bacterial small subunit ribosomal RNA
Source: RNAcentral